AGGUGUGGGGAACCUUCCACGUUCUCCGUGCCGCAGCUAACGCAUUAAGCGCCCCGCCUGGGGAGUACGGCCGCAAGGCUAAAACUCAAAGGAAUUGACGGGGGCCCGCACAAGCGGCGGAGCAUGUGGCUUAAUUCGACGCAACGCGAAGAACCUUACCAAGGCUUGACAUAUACCGAAAACUCGUAGAGAUACGGGGUCCGCAAGGGCGGUAUACAGGUGGUGCAUGGUUGUCGU
This 237-nucleotide ribosomal RNA is filed under the name uncultured bacterium. RNAcentral's name for it is "partial 16S ribosomal RNA". It matches the Rfam family "Bacterial small subunit ribosomal RNA", at positions 818 to 1055 of the family's 1533-position model. The record is from RNAcentral.